Small nucleolar RNA from Rana temporaria (common frog), 76 nucleotides. RefSeq annotates it as small nucleolar RNA SNORD34. NCBI's taxonomy places the organism in Eukaryota, Metazoa, Chordata, Amphibia, Anura, Ranidae. The record is from RefSeq and is a predicted model, not a curated record. The transcript has a single exon.
AUUUGUCAAUGAUGAUUUGUAUUUUAACCUACAUUGUUUGAUUUCUCUGAGAAAAGCUUCAUAUUCUGAGACAAAU